AAGAAGCGCCAUUGCCCUUCCUUCCUUAUCCUCUAUUCUUUUGGUUAAUAAAUAAGUUCAUUGGGACUUGUUGAAUAAGAAGCUCCUAAUGGCCAUUUCUUUUAAGUGAUACUCAGUUUGAAGUUCCCCAUCACCUCUUUUGGGACUAAUUCCUCAGUCAAAUCAUUCUCCCAAAACCAUCUCUCUAUAAUUUCUCACAUUCUCUAGAUUUAAUUCUACCACGCAUUUGAAGGAGAGUGUGUUGCAAUCUACUUGAUUGGUUUUUGCCAUGUUUGUUUGGUUGACAUAGUUGUUCGCUGUUAUGCACAAUUGUAUCGCUAGAAACCUUGCUGUCCUGAUAUCAUAAGAGGUUUUGCAUUUGCUUAAAUGCUAGAUGCAGUGGCGAGGUUGACUAGGUGGUGACGGUAAGGUUCAUUUAGGCUCAUGUGUUAUUUUAGGGUUUUGCUUAUUUUAGGGUUAUGGACUUUAUUUGAGAUUAUACUUAAUUGUAGUGAUGUGGGGCUAAUAGUUGUUGAUGUGUCUCCUUUGGUUUGGCUUUUUAGCGUG
RNAcentral lists this long non-coding RNA (546 nucleotides) under Prunus persica (peach). RNAcentral's name for it is "long non-coding RNA (PPER_LNC004499)". The record is from RNAcentral. Lineage: Eukaryota; Viridiplantae; Streptophyta; Magnoliopsida; Rosales; Rosaceae.